RNAcentral lists this unclassified non-coding RNA (346 nucleotides) under soil metagenome. RNAcentral's name for it is "partial contains 5.8S ribosomal RNA, internal transcribed spacer 2, and large subunit ribosomal RNA". The stretch from base 1 to 120 matches the Rfam family "5.8S ribosomal RNA", at positions 35 to 154 of the family's 154-position model. The record is from RNAcentral.
GAUGAAGAACGUAGUGAAAUGCGAUAAGUAGUGUGAAUUGCAGAUUUCAGUGAAUCAUCGAAUCUUUGAACGCACAUUGCGCCCCCUGGUAUUCCGGGGGGCAUGCCUGUCCGAGCGUCAUUGCUGCCCUCAAGCACGGCUUGUGUGUUGGGCCCCGUCCUCCGAUCCCGGGGGACGGGCCCGAAAGGCAGCGGCGGCACCGCGUCCGGUCCUCGAGCGUAUGGGGCUUUGUCACCCGCUCUGUAGGCCCAGCCGGCGCUUGCCGAUCAACCCAAAUUUUUAUCCAGGUUGACCUCGGAUCAGGUAGGGAUACCCGCUGAACUUAAGCAUAUCAAUAAGCGGAGGA